GAAGUAUAAUGAAUAAAAAAAAGCUGCUAACUUUAUUUUUAAUGGUUAAAUUCCAUUAAUACUUCU
This 66-nucleotide transfer RNA is filed under the name Paratrichobius longicrus. RNAcentral's name for it is "tRNA-Ser". Lineage: Eukaryota; Metazoa; Arthropoda; Insecta; Diptera; Streblidae. The record is from RNAcentral.